RNAcentral lists this ribosomal RNA (471 nucleotides) under uncultured Bacteroidota bacterium. RNAcentral's name for it is "bacterial SSU rRNA". It matches the Rfam family "Bacterial small subunit ribosomal RNA", at positions 30 to 496 of the family's 1533-position model. Lineage: Bacteria; Pseudomonadati; Bacteroidota. The record is from RNAcentral.
UGAACGCUAGCGGCAGGCCUAAUACAUGCAAGUCGAGGGGUAACAGGAAGUGCUUGCACUUCGCUGACGACCGGCGCACGGGUGAGUAUCGCGUAUACAAUCUGCCUCAUACUAGGGAAUAGCCCGAAGAAAUUUGGAUUAAUGCCCUAUGGUAUCUUCUUAAGGCAUCUUAUUAAGAUUAAAGGUUACGGUAUGAGAUGAGUAUGCGUUCUAUUAGCUAGUAGGUGUGGUAACGGCACACCUAGGCUACGAUAGAUAGGGGCCCUGAGAGGGGGAUCCCCCACACUGGUACUGAGACACGGACCAGACUCCUACGGGAGGCAGCAGUAAGGAAUAUUGGUCAAUGGACGAAAGUCUGAACCAGCCAUGCCGCGUGCAGGAUGACUGCCCUAUGGGUUGUAAACUGCUUUUAUAUAGGAAGAAAAACUUUCUCGUGAGAAAGCUUGACGGUACUAUAAGAAUAAGGAUCGG